GACGAACCGUCCAAACGUUAUUCGGAAUUACUGGGCUUAAAGGGUGCGUAGGCGGCGCGGAAAGUUGGGUGUGAAAUCCCUCGGCUUAACCGAGGAACUGCGCCCAAAACUACCGUGCUCGAGGGAGAUAGAGGUGAGCGGAACUUAGGGUGGAGCGGUGAAAUGCGUUGAUAUCCUAAGGAACACCGGUGGCGAAAGCGGCUCACUGGAUCUCUUCUGACGCUGAGGCACGAAAGCUAGGGUAGCAAACGGG
RNAcentral lists this ribosomal RNA (253 nucleotides) under uncultured bacterium. RNAcentral's name for it is "partial 16S ribosomal RNA". It matches the Rfam family "Bacterial small subunit ribosomal RNA", at positions 524 to 776 of the family's 1533-position model. The record is from RNAcentral.